This is a long non-coding RNA of Ceratitis capitata (Mediterranean fruit fly), 792 nucleotides long. RefSeq lists it as uncharacterized. NCBI's taxonomy places the organism in Eukaryota, Metazoa, Arthropoda, Insecta, Diptera, Tephritidae. The record is from RefSeq and is a predicted model, not a curated record. The transcript has 3 exons.
UUUCGAUUGCAAAUGCAGGCAUAUGUGUGUAAAUAUGUUUGCUUGACUUUUUUAACUCUAACCACAAAGAGGCCUACCUUCCAUCUUAAUUUUUAGUGCAGUCUACAUCGGACAGCAGUGACAAUUGGGAUACCUGAUACAUAUUAGAGGACUGUCACUCGUUCACAUUCCUGGAAAUCGAUUUGAGAGUGCUUUUGCAGUUACAAGAACAAAAGCCUAACAACUCAUUUCGUACCUUAUCAUUGCGACAGAAAAUUCAAAUGAAAUCACCCUCCCCUUCACAUAAAAAAAAUCUUAACCGUAGUUCUUUCCUCUUGAAGGGAAAACAUCAAAACUUCAGCUAUGAAAAAACAAAUGCUCGAAAUGGGCGUGGCUGCUCAGAAACUGCUUUUGUGACCCCUCUAUUUCGAAAGAUAUUUUCGAAUCUUUAUUCUAAUAUUAUACUUCUUAAGAUGUUAAGACAGAAGAUGCGAGAACUUCUCACUUUAUAAUUUUCGGAAUUCCUUCGGGCUUUACUACGGCAAACAGACUUUCGGAACGUUGAAAGAUAGUAAAAGAACCCUCAAUUUAAAAAGAAACAACAACAUGCUAUAUUUUUUAUUUAUUACACAUAGAGGUUUAUUAGGUAUUAUUUCACAUUAGAAUGUAUGUAUAAUCGAACGUAUGCAAUUCUAUUUCAAUGUGACUCCAAAUGCGCACAAUACUGAUCAUUGCUUUCUGUGUGGGAAAUGAAAAAUAUAAUACCGUUGUAAGAACUAUUUUAUAAAAAAUACAUAUUUAUACAUCUUUGAA